This 21-nucleotide microRNA is filed under the name Bos taurus (domestic cattle). RNAcentral's name for it is "bta-miR-2285v". Lineage: Eukaryota; Metazoa; Chordata; Mammalia; Artiodactyla; Bovidae. The record is from miRBase by way of RNAcentral.
AGAACCGGAACGAACUUUUUG